AUACCAGCACCCCGAGUAGUCGGGACGAUUAUUGGGCCUAAAGCAUCCGUAGCCGGUUCUGCAAGUCCUCCGUUAAAUCCACCUGCUCAACAGAUGGGCUGCGGGGGAUACCGCAGAGUUAGGAGGCGGGAGAGGCAAACGGUACUCAGUGGGUAGGGGUAAAAUCCUUUGAUCUACUGAAGACCACCAGUGGCGAAGGCGGUUUGCCAGAACGCGCUCGACGGUGAGGGAUGAAAGCUGGGGGAGCAAACCGGAUUAGAUACCCGGGUAGUCCCAGCUGUAAACGAUGCAGACUCGGUGAUGGGUUGGCCUCGCGCCAACCCAGUGCCGCAGGGAAGCCGGUAAGUCUGCCGCCUGGGGAGUACGGUCGCAAGACUGAAAC
RNAcentral lists this ribosomal RNA (382 nucleotides) under uncultured bacterium. Its description in RNAcentral is "partial 16S ribosomal RNA". It matches the Rfam family "Archaeal small subunit ribosomal RNA", at positions 473 to 855 of the family's 1478-position model. The record is from RNAcentral.